RNAcentral lists this unclassified non-coding RNA (325 nucleotides) under uncultured fungus. RNAcentral's name for it is "sequence contains ITS1". The record is from RNAcentral. Lineage: Eukaryota; Fungi.
CAAUGAACACAAGUCCAGCUCAGCAGGAUCAGGCACAAACGCAAACCCCGAUGACCACCAGUCGUAAAUCAUCCGGCAGGGCAGUUUACCUGGUUGACGGCGCCCGCACGCCUUUCAUUCGGGCGCGGGGCAAACCCGGCCCCUUCUCGCCGGUGGACCUGGCGGUGCAGUGCGGGCGCCCGCUGCUACUGCGCCAGAAUAUGCCCGCCACCGCGUUUGAUCAGGUUAUUCUGGGCUGCGUGAAUGUUGUCUCCGACGAGAUGAACCCAGCACGCGUGGCUGCCCUGCGCCUGGGCAUGGGCGAGGCCAUGCCCGCCUUUACCGU